UGGGGAAUAUUGCACAAUGGGCGAAAGCCUGAUGCAGCAACGCCGCGUGAGUGAUGAAGGCCUUCGGGUUGUAAAGCUCUGUCUUCUGGGACGAUAAUGACGGUACCAGAGGAGGAAGCCACGGCUAACUACGUGCCAGCAGCCGCGGUAAUACGUAGGUGGCAAGCGUUGUCCGGAUUUACUGGGCGUAAAGGAUGCGUAGGCGGAUACUUAAGUCAGAUGUGAAAAUCCCGGGCUUAACUUGGGAACUGCAUUUGAAACUGGGUAUCUAGAGUGCGGGAGAGGAUAGUGGAAUUCCUAGUGUUGCGGUGAAAUGCGUAGAGAUUAGGAAGAACACCAGUGGCGAAGGCGACUUUCUGGACCGUAACUGACGCUGAGGCAUGAAAGCGU
This 390-nucleotide ribosomal RNA is filed under the name uncultured bacterium. RNAcentral describes it as "bacterial SSU rRNA". It matches the Rfam family "Bacterial small subunit ribosomal RNA", at positions 355 to 762 of the family's 1533-position model. The record is from RNAcentral.